UCGAGAAUCUUCGGCAAUGGGGGCAACCCUGACCGAGCGGCGCCGCGUGGGCGAUGAAGGCCUUCGGGUUGUAAAGCCCUGUCGAGAGGGAGAAAAGGGUAACACCUUGAUCUAUCUCUGGAGGAAGCACGGGCUAAGUUCGUGCCAGCAGCCGCGGUAAGACGAACCGUGCGAACGUUGUUCGGAAUCACUGGGCUUAAAGGGCGCGUAGGCGGGCUGCCGCGUCCGGGGUGAAAUCCUUCCGCUCAACGGAAGAACGGCCCCGGGUACGGGCGGUCUCGAGGGAGGUAGGGGCGUGCGGAACUCUGAGUGGAGCGGUGAAAUGCGUUGAUAUUCAGAGGAACUCCGGUGGCGAAGGCGGCACGCUGGACCUCUUCUGACGCUGAGGCGCGAAAGCUAGGGUAGCGAACGGGAUUAGAUACCCCCGUAGUCC
Molecule: ribosomal RNA, 433 nt
Filed under: uncultured prokaryote
Description: bacterial SSU rRNA
Rfam family: Bacterial small subunit ribosomal RNA
Source: RNAcentral